CUGAUGGCAGAGGAUACGCGGCGUAUGAGCGACUUUAAGCGCCAAAAUUACGAUUUACAAGAGAAUUGCACAGCAAUAAAGCAAUAAACAAAACGCUUGCAUUCAUCACCUUCCAUAACAGAAACAACAAUAAUACCAAUAGCAAUAGAAGCACUGAGGCCGAAUUAUACCUUGACUGUGGUCAACAUAUAAUAUUAGAUUGCGCAUUCAUCACCCGCCGCUGCUACCUCUGCAACGAACGAAUGAAGGCAUCUUGCCAUCGAAGGGCAAUCGAUCUAUCAUCAUUGAUUAAUGUGAUUCGCCGUAGCGCCACUUUAGUCAAACAACUGGAAGAGGACCAUUUAGAUGCGCUUUAGUGCAGCCCGAAGAUAACACCGACUAAGUGAGUGCAGCCAUAUGUGCUUUUGUGUGGGCGUGAUUGUCGCAAACACUCUAUGUGGCACAUAAACAAAGCAAUGCUAGGUGUUGCCCCUUGAGCACAAUAGUACGCUCAGUUAACAUUCACUCCGUUGGCGAAUGGCUGAGAUUGUCGAGCGCUGGUUAAUUAAUUGACACCCAGAUAGGCAUAAUUGUCAAACACAAUUCGCUUUGUUGUGAAACAUUUCAGGAAUUCGCCUUGAGUUACCGACUAAAAGUGUCAACAGCAGAGUGCGCCAUAUACAUGCAUAUACCAGCAUAGAAUUUACCUAUGCACUUGCAUACAUAAGUACAUAAUGGGCGUGUGCUUGCUGGUAAUAAAAUUUUUUAUGGUAUAUAUAUAUGCCAAAAAAUCACAUUUUUAUUUGAAUAAAGUGCUCACUUUAAAAAACUGUUCACCGCAUACAAUAGUUUUUGAUCAUUAUGAUAAGUAAUCAAUUCGUGCAUAAAACCGUGUGCAAUUGUUUCAAAUUUAUUGAAUUACAAAUGUUUGUACAUUUUUUAUCACACCGCUGAGAGCAACGCUACCCAUGUUUAUUGCCUGUUAAAGUUAGGUUCAGCAGUAAAAUAAAACUAUUAAAUUAUUUAUUUGAAAU
Molecule: non-coding RNA, 1013 nt
Organism: Bactrocera oleae (olive fruit fly)
Lineage: Eukaryota; Metazoa; Arthropoda; Insecta; Diptera; Tephritidae
Source: RefSeq, a predicted model, not a curated record